This 305-nucleotide ribosomal RNA is filed under the name uncultured bacterium. RNAcentral describes it as "bacterial SSU rRNA". It matches the Rfam family "Bacterial small subunit ribosomal RNA", at positions 333 to 635 of the family's 1533-position model. The record is from RNAcentral.
UAUAUCCUACGGGGGGCAGCAGUGAGGAAUAUUGGUCAAUGGUCGGGAGACUGAACCAGCCAAGCCGCGUGAGGGAGGAAGGUACAGAGUAUCGUAAACCUCUUUUGUCAGGGAACAAAGGCGGGGACGUGUCCCCGGAUGAGUGUACCUGAAGAAAAAGCAUCGGCUAACUCCGUGCCAGCAGCCGCGGUAAUACGGAGGAUGCGAGCGUUAUCCGGAUUUACUGGGUGUAAAGGGAGCGCAGGCGGCGUGGCAAGUCAGAUGUGAAAACCCGGGGCCCAACCCCGGGAGUGCAUUUGAAACUG